RNAcentral lists this ribosomal RNA (468 nucleotides) under uncultured bacterium. Its description in RNAcentral is "partial 16S ribosomal RNA". It matches the Rfam family "Bacterial small subunit ribosomal RNA", at positions 28 to 507 of the family's 1533-position model. The record is from RNAcentral.
GACGAACGCUGGCGGCGUGCUUAACACAUGCAAGUCGAACGGAAACGUCCUGCUUUUGUGGGGUGCUCGACUGGCGAACGGGUGAGUAACACGUGAGUAACCUGUCCUUGACUUUGGGAUAACUUCAUGCAACUGGGGCUCAUACCGGCUAGGAGCUCCUGCUGCAUGGUGGGGGCUGGAAAGUUUCGGCGGUUGGGGAUGGACUCGCGGCUUAUCAGCUUGUUGGUGGGGUAGUGGCUUACCAAGGCUUUGACGGGUAGCCGGCCUGAGAGGGUGACCGGCCACAUUGGGACUGAGAUACGGCCCAGACUCCUACGGGAGGCAGCAGUGGGGAAUAUUACACAAUGGGCGGAAGCAUGAUGCAGCAACGCCGCGUGGGGGAUGACGGCCAUCGGGUUGUAAACCGCUGUCGCCUGUGACGAAGCGAGAGUGACGGUAAUGGGUAAAGAAGCACCGGCUAACUACGUG